Anneissia japonica is the source of this 609-nucleotide long non-coding RNA. RefSeq lists it as uncharacterized. The record is from RefSeq and is a predicted model, not a curated record. NCBI's taxonomy places the organism in Eukaryota, Metazoa, Echinodermata, Crinoidea, Comatulida, Comatulidae. The transcript has 2 exons.
GAUUGGUCAUAUAGACUUCUACCCAAAUGGUGGUAAAGAGCAGCCUGGUUGUCCCGAAACAAUUUUUGACGCUUUUUCAAACAUGUCUGAGGUAUCCUGCAGUCACAGCCGAGCAACAGAAUUGUUCAUUGAAAGCCUCGACAAAGACUGUUUUUCAGCAUUUCCUUGCCUGAACAAUAGACGUUUUGAAGCUGGUAAAUGUACAUCUUGUAGUCUGCUGGGCUGCCCCAAAAUGGGUUAUUUCACUGACACGAGUGUCAGUAGUGGGACAUUCUACCUCUCUACGUCUGACAAGCGUCCUUUCUGCCUACUCAAGAACAUAAUCAACAAAACCGGUUAGGCUAAACUACUAAGACUAUGUUGAAAUAUUUAGUGAAACUGUAUUACCUGGUAAAAGUGUUUAUCGUUAUGGUGGACUUGAAAGAAAAGUUUGUAUUAUUUAUGGUUUUCAAGUCUGCAGUGUAUUCGUUCAUACCAGUUGAACUUACUACGAAACAUACUUUACUAGGCCUUUAGUAAUAUGAAACAUGGUGUAAAAUUAUCGUGUUAUGUUGGCCUAUAUAGAAAUUUGUAGAAAAUAGUGACAAUAAAUUUAUCUAAAAUGUGUAA